Molecule: ribosomal RNA, 1531 nt
Filed under: Corynebacterium sp. HMSC072A02
Lineage: Bacteria; Bacillati; Actinomycetota; Actinomycetes; Mycobacteriales; Corynebacteriaceae
Description: bacterial SSU rRNA
Rfam family: Bacterial small subunit ribosomal RNA
Source: RNAcentral
UUUUUUGUGGAGAGUUUGAUCCUGGCUCAGGACGAACGCUGGCGGCGUGCUUAACACAUGCAAGUCGAACGGAAAGGCCUCUUGCUUGCAAGGGGUACUCGAGUGGCGAACGGGUGAGUAACACGUGGGUGAUCUGCCUUGCACUCUGGGAUAAGCUUGGGAAACUGGGUCUAAUACCGGAUAUGAACUGCCUUUAGUGUGGUGGUUGGAAAGUUUUUUCGGUGCAAGAUGAGCUCGCGGCCUAUCAGCUUGUUGGUGGGGUAAUGGCCUACCAAGGCGUCGACGGGUAGCCGGCCUGAGAGGGUGUACGGCCACAUUGGGACUGAGAUACGGCCCAGACUCCUACGGGAGGCAGCAGUGGGGAAUAUUGCACAAUGGGCGGAAGCCUGAUGCAGCGACGCCGCGUGGGGGAUGACGGCCUUCGGGUUGUAAACUCCUUUCGACAGGGACGAAGCUUUUUGUGACGGUACCUGUAUAAGAAGCACCGGCUAACUACGUGCCAGCAGCCGCGGUAAUACGUAGGGUGCGAGCGUUGUCCGGAAUUACUGGGCGUAAAGAGCUCGUAGGUGGUUUGUCGCGUCGUCUGUGAAAUUCCGGGGCUUAACUUCGGGCGUGCAGGCGAUACGGGCAUAACUUGAGUGCUGUAGGGGAGACUGGAAUUCCUGGUGUAGCGGUGAAAUGCGCAGAUAUCAGGAGGAACACCGAUGGCGAAGGCAGGUCUCUGGGCAGUUACUGACGCUGAGGAGCGAAAGCAUGGGUAGCAAACAGGAUUAGAUACCCUGGUAGUCCAUGCCGUAAACGGUGGGCGCUAGGUGUAGGGGGCUUCCACGUCUUCUGUGCCGUAGCUAACGCAUUAAGCGCCCCGCCUGGGGAGUACGGCCGCAAGGCUAAAACUCAAAGGAAUUGACGGGGGCCCGCACAAGCGGCGGAGCAUGUGGAUUAAUUCGAUGCAACGCGAAGAACCUUACCUGGGCUUGACAUACACCAGAUUGCUGCAGAGAUGUAGUGUCCCUUGUGGUUGGUGUACAGGUGGUGCAUGGUUGUCGUCAGCUCGUGUCGUGAGAUGUUGGGUUAAGUCCCGCAACGAGCGCAACCCUUGUCUUAUGUUGCCAGCAUUUGGUUGGGGACUCAUGAGAGACUGCCGGGGUUAACUCGGAGGAAGGUGGGGAUGACGUCAAAUCAUCAUGCCCCUUAUGUCCAGGGCUUCACACAUGCUACAAUGGUCGGUACAACGCGCAGCGACACUGUGAGGUGGAGCGAAUCGCUGAAAGCCGGUCUUAGUUCGGAUUGGGGUCUGCAACUCGACCCCAUGAAGUCGGAGUCGCUAGUAAUCGCAGAUCAGCAACGCUGCGGUGAAUACGUUCCCGGGCCUUGUACACACCGCCCGUCACGUCAUGAAAGUUGGUAACACCCGAAGCCAGUGGCCUAAACUUGUUAGGGAGCUGUCGAAGGUGGGAUCGGCGAUUGGGACGAAGUCGUAACAAGGUCCCCGUACCGGAAGGUGCGGGUGGAUCACCUCCUUUCUAAGGAG